This 500-nucleotide ribosomal RNA is filed under the name uncultured bacterium. Its description in RNAcentral is "partial 16S ribosomal RNA". It matches the Rfam family "Bacterial small subunit ribosomal RNA", at positions 28 to 507 of the family's 1533-position model. The record is from RNAcentral.
GACGAACGCUGGCGGCGUGCCUAAUACAUGCAAGUCGAGCGGAGUGGUUAAGAGCUUGCUCUUAUGACGUUAGCGGCGAACGGGUGAGUAACGCGUGGGCAACCUGCCCUGUAGAGGGGGAUAACAGCGAGAAAUGGGUGCUAAUACCGCAUAAGCUCAGGGAUCACCUUCGGUUUGGGUAAAAGGUGGCUCCUGCUAUCACUACAGGAUGGCCCCGCGGUGCAUUAGCUAGUUGGUAAGGUCAUGGCUUAUCAAGGCGUCGAUGCGGAGCCGACCUGCGAGGGUGACGGGCCACACCGGGACUGAGACACGGCCCAGCCACCUACGGGAUGCAGCACGAGCGAAUCUUCCGCGAGGGGCGGCAGUCUGACGUAGUAACGCCGCGUGAGUGAUGAAGGGUUUCGGCGCGGAAUGCACUGUUGUUAGGGAAGAAACAGUACCGCACGAAGUAGGUCGGUACCUUGACGGUACCUAACAAGAAAGCCACGGCUAACUACGUG